CCACUAUUGACGAAUGGUGGUAGCAAAACUUGGUCUGAAGAACCAGCAGAUGUAGUCUAGAAUGCAUCUGUGACUUAAAGGCUAUAUUAAAGAGUUGAAACCUGUGCU
The submitters of this non-coding RNA (108 nucleotides) gave its source as unclassified sequences. The record is from Rfam.